UGGGGAAUUUUGGACAAUGGGGGAAACCCUGAUCUAGCCAUCCCGCGUGUGCGAUGAAGGCCUUCGGGUUGUAAAGCACUUUUGGCAGGAAAGAAACGUCAUGGGUUAAUACCCCGUGAAACUGACGGUACCUGCAGAAUAAGCACCGGCUAACUACGUGCCAGCAGCCGCGGUAAUACGUAGGGUGCAAGCGUUAAUCGGAAUUACUGGGCGUAAAGCGUGCGCAGGCGGUUCGGAAAGAAAGAUGUGAAAUCCCAGGGCUCAACUUUGGAACUGCAUUUUUAACUACCGGGCUAGAGUGUGUCAGAGGGAGGUGGAAUUGCGCGUGUAGCAGUGAAAUGCGUAGAUAUGCGGAGGAACACCGAGGGCGAAGGCAGCCUCCUGGGAUAACACUGACGCUCAUGCACGAAAGCGUGGGGAGCAAACAGG
This 429-nucleotide ribosomal RNA is filed under the name Acidobacteriota bacterium. RNAcentral describes it as "Acidobacteria bacterium partial 16S ribosomal RNA". It matches the Rfam family "Bacterial small subunit ribosomal RNA", at positions 355 to 776 of the family's 1533-position model. The record is from RNAcentral. Lineage: Bacteria; Pseudomonadati; Acidobacteriota.